AUCAAGGGAUGGGAAUCGAACCCACGACCUUCCGCUUACCGGGCAGAUGCCAUGACCACUAGGCUACCCUGGA
Molecule: transfer RNA, 73 nt
Filed under: Cordylochernes scorpioides
Lineage: Eukaryota; Metazoa; Arthropoda; Arachnida; Pseudoscorpiones; Chernetidae
Description: tRNA-Thr
Source: RNAcentral